This 796-nucleotide ribosomal RNA is filed under the name uncultured Pelagibacteraceae bacterium. Its description in RNAcentral is "bacterial SSU rRNA". It matches the Rfam family "Bacterial small subunit ribosomal RNA", at positions 34 to 878 of the family's 1533-position model. Lineage: Bacteria; Pseudomonadati; Pseudomonadota; Alphaproteobacteria; Candidatus Pelagibacterales; Candidatus Pelagibacteraceae. The record is from RNAcentral.
CGCUGGCGGCACGCCUUAUACAUGCAAGUCGAACGAAGUAGCAAUACUUAGUGGCAGACGGGUGAGUAACAUGUGGGUAUCUUCCCUUUGGUGAGGAAUAACACGAGGAAACUUGUGCUAAUACCUCAUAAGUCUUUACAGAGAAAGCUUUAUGCGCCAAUGGAUGAGCCCGCACUUGAUUAGUUUGUUGGUGAGGUAAUGGCUCACCAAGACUGUGAUCAAUAGCUGAUUUGAGAGGAUGAUCAGCCACAUUGGGACUGAGACACGGCCCAAACUCCUACGGGAGGCAGCAGUAAGGAAUCUUGCACAAUGGAGGAAACUCUGAUGCAGCGAUGCCGCGUGAGUGAAGAAGGCCCUUGGGUUGUAAAGCUCUUUCGUCGGGGAAGAAAAUGACUGUACCCGAAUAAGAAGGUCCGGCUAACUUCGUGCCAGCAGCCGCGGUAAUACGAAGGGACCUAGCGUAGUUCGGAAUUACUGGGCUUAAAGAGUUCGUAGGUGGUUAAAAAAGUUGGUGGUGAAAUCCCAGAGCUUAACUCUGGAACUGCCAUCAAAACUUUUUAGCUAGAGUAUGAUAGAGGAAAGCAGAAUUUCUAGUGUAGAGGUGAAAUUCGUAGAUAUUAGAAAGAAUACCAAUUGCGAAGGCAGCUUUCUGGAUCAUUACUGACACUGAGGAACGAAAGCAUGGGUAGCGAAGAGGAUUAGAUACCCUCGUAGUCCAUGCCGUAAACGAUGUGUGUUAGACGUUGGAAAUUUAUUUUCAGUGUCGCAGUGAAAGCGAUAAACACACCGCCUGGGG